Molecule: long non-coding RNA, 278 nt
Filed under: Phoenix dactylifera (date palm)
Lineage: Eukaryota; Viridiplantae; Streptophyta; Magnoliopsida; Arecales; Arecaceae
Description: long non-coding RNA (PDAC_LNC016800)
Source: RNAcentral
CCCGAUGCAACUUGCCCACUGUAUCCAGCCGAGACAAAUCAACAUCAGAAAGACCUUAGCAGCUCUACUAUAGUGGAAGACCUAUUGACUUAAUAUUGGUUAAUCAGGUCUUAGUGUUUGCAACUUGAGCUCUUCAUAAGAGGUAAUCGAACAAUUGGGCAGGUAAGCAGGUGGGAGGCUCCCCUUACUCAGAGAGUAAGGUCCUAAUUAAGUAACCAUCUUUCAUGCUUUACUAGACACCAAUUAGAUCAAUUAAUCUAAUAUGACUCGCUCAUGUU